AGGAAAAUAAUUUCUAGACAAUUCAAUUCCUUCGAAUUCAUUUUAAUUCAAUUCUAUCUUUGCAAUCAAACGGACCCUCCUUAUAAGAUUUGAUAAAAUUUAUCAUUGAAAUUAAAAGGUUGAAUUUAUUGAUUUUGACUUCAAAUUUCUAAGUUUUCGAAAACAUGCACUAAAUUUGCAAUAAACAAAAACUAUUUCACGCUUCUAAAUUUUUUUUUAUCGUAAAAUGGUAAGAAAUUUGGUGUCGAGUUGGGCAUAAAUGUCAUUUCAGACUGAUUUUCCAUGUCAGAGUCACAAUCCAGUAUUCUAUUAUUCCAUUCAUGGGUCAGACGAGACCACACCUUACUAACACAUAGAAAGGACUCAUAAAUCCAUUCG
Molecule: long non-coding RNA, 378 nt
Filed under: Olea europaea (common olive)
Lineage: Eukaryota; Viridiplantae; Streptophyta; Magnoliopsida; Lamiales; Oleaceae
Description: long non-coding RNA (OEUR_LNC010668)
Source: RNAcentral